Molecule: ribosomal RNA, 253 nt
Filed under: uncultured bacterium
Lineage: Bacteria
Description: partial 16S ribosomal RNA
Rfam family: Bacterial small subunit ribosomal RNA
Source: RNAcentral
UACGGGGGGGGUAAGCGUUGUUCGGAAUUACUGGGCGUAAAGGGCUCGUAGGCGGCCAACUAAGUCAGACGUGAAAUCCCUCAGCUUAACUGGGGAACUGCGUCUGAUACUGGAUGGCUUGGAUUCGGGAGAGGAAUGCGGAAUUCCAGGUGUAGCGGUGAAAUGCGUAGAUAUCUGGAGGAACACCGGUGGCGAAGGCGACUACCUGGCCUGUUCUUGACGCUGAGGCGCGAAAGCUAGGGGAGCAAACGGG